This 399-nucleotide unclassified non-coding RNA is filed under the name fungal sp. RNAcentral's name for it is "partial internal transcribed spacer region". The stretch from base 1 to 46 matches the Rfam family "Eukaryotic small subunit ribosomal RNA", at positions 1786 to 1831 of the family's 1831-position model. The record is from RNAcentral. Lineage: Eukaryota; Fungi.
AAGUCGUAACAAGGUUUCCGUAGGUGAACCUGCGGAAGGAUCAUUAACACGUAUCCAAACGUUACAACCCUCCCUGAACAUUCAUCCUGCUCUUGUAACCCGCGAAGCUUGCAAUCUCUGGUAAAUCAUAGCCCGGAAAGUAGUUUUGAUUCAGAGACCUCUGGCCCGUGCGAAUAUUGGAACAGUUACAAUUUUGAGCGGUAGUUCUAUAGGCCUUGUUUCCCCAAGCAGUCAGUGUCUGAAUAACGCUUCACGAUUCUUGUAGACCGCAUCUCGCGGGCAGGAGCUAGGCCAAAGGGUCCCCAUGCCCCCUUACAACCCCACAGUUUAAUUGAAGCUCCAUGUAAUACAUUGGGUAAAAAAACCGAACAACUGUUAACAAUGGAUAUCUUGGUUCUC